GACGAACGCUGGCGGCGUGCUUAACACAUGCAAGUCGAGCGGUAAGGCCCUUUCGGGGUACGACGAGCGGCGAACGGGUAGAGUAACACGUGGGUGACCUGCCCUCCAGCUCUGGGAGUAAGCCUGGGAAACCGGGUACUAAUACUGGAUAUGACUCCAUGACGCAUGUUGUGGGGUGGAAAGCCUUGUGCGGCUGAGGAUGGGCCCGCGGCCUAUCAGCUUGUUGGUGGGGUGAGGCCUGCC
This 243-nucleotide ribosomal RNA is filed under the name uncultured bacterium. Its description in RNAcentral is "partial 16S ribosomal RNA". It matches the Rfam family "Bacterial small subunit ribosomal RNA", at positions 28 to 269 of the family's 1533-position model. The record is from RNAcentral.